UAACAACUACUUUUCGAGUUAUAUCUAAUAAUGCGUUUUUACUUGACGCUUUUUUCGUCGACCUACGUUGUAUUAUACCGCAUAACUUUCUACUGGGUGUACCGAUUUUGAUAAUUCUUUUUUUGUUGGAAAGAAGAUAUCUCUAGUUUAGUACCAUGAUAAGGAAACCAGGAUCUGAUUAUGGGAUCCCGGAGAAAUCGAGGGAAACUCUUGAAAAUCCGCAAUAACUUUUUACUGGGUGUACCGAUUUUGAUAAUUUUUAAUUUAAUCGAAAGCUGAUGUUUGUCAUGUAGUCACAUAUAAAUUUUAUUGAGAUCUGAUCACUACUUUUUGAGUAAUCUUUGAUAACGCGUAGUUACUUGACUAUUUUUUCGUCGAUCUACGUUGUAUUACUCGUCGGUGUAAUUGAAGUCGGUUUUUUUUUUCGUUUGCGAG
RNAcentral lists this unclassified non-coding RNA (435 nucleotides) under Melitaea cinxia (Glanville fritillary). RNAcentral describes it as "misc RNA ENSMCXG00005013115.1". Lineage: Eukaryota; Metazoa; Arthropoda; Insecta; Lepidoptera; Nymphalidae. The record is from RNAcentral.